Molecule: long non-coding RNA, 984 nt
Filed under: Marmota monax (woodchuck)
Lineage: Eukaryota; Metazoa; Chordata; Mammalia; Rodentia; Sciuridae
Source: RNAcentral
AUUUGACUUUGCUUUUUUCUUUUAGUUUUUUGAUAGUUUUUAUUUUAAUGAUACCUGCUUUUAAAGUAAGCAGAAUACAACAGACACUAGUAUUGCUGUAUGUAUAAACGUGGCUGUAUAACCAAUGUGAUCCUGCAGUCUGUACACGUGGAAAAAUGAGAAUUCAUACCCCAUUUGAAUCAAAUGUAUGAUAUGUCAAGAUAGUUGUAUUGUCUUGAGCAACUAAUAAAAAAUAAAGUAAGCAUAAUUUAUAACUAUCUACAGUUAUACACUGCAGAUACAAUAUUAAGUGCUCAUAAUCCCUUGCAUUUGGUAAAUACAGGAACUUUAUUAGUUUACAUGAAUUUUUCACCAACUGACCUUAACUCAGGAAGCUAUAUUAGUAACUGAAUUUAUAAACUUAGUACUUUGCAUCUCAUCCAGCAUAAAGUUGCCCAACUAAGGAAAACAGGUAAUAAUAAUGAAUUCAAUCAUUUUAUGAUUCCAUAAAAUACAUAGUUCAAUAAAUAUAUCUCCAAAGGAAGAAAGUGGAGUUGGUUUUUGUACCUCUCUUGUUUAGGUGGUAAGUAAAUAUACUUUGAGUCAUCAAGAACUAUCUCCAUAUGGAUCUUAGAAAAUUUGGAAUUUUAACUACUGAUUUGAUUUUUGAUUCUAUAUUAUACCCAUUCAGAAGUAGAUUCCCUUAGAAGGAAUGGUAAUGCAGACAAAUUUGCCUAUUUAUUUUGAUAUGGGGUACUGGAAAGAAUCUGUGUUAGAAUAGACUUUGCACACACUGUCCUGUCAUAUAUAGAAAAAACAACUGUAUGCAAUUUGUGUGGACAUACUUUAUGGAUCUAUAUUUAUGACAACCUCAAUGUUUUCAUUUAAAGUUUCAAUUAGGGGGCUGGGGAUGUGGCUGAAGCGGUAGCGCGCUCGCCUGGCAUGCGUGCGGCCCGGGUUCGAUCCUCAGCACCACAUACAAACAAAGAUGUUGUGUCCGCCGAA